CGUUUUAUCCAAAAUUUCUCUCAUGUUGCUAGACCUUUGUCUCGACUUACUAGUAAGAAGGUACCUUUUACAUGGUCUCCGGAAGCUGAAGAAGCUUUCACCCAACUUAAAUCUGCUCUUAUCUCGUCACCUAUUCUACAAUGUCCUGAUUUCUCUCAGCCAUUUUACAUCCAUACGGAUGCUUCCUCGUUUGCUAUUGGUGCUGUUUUAACUCAAAGGGUCGAUGGUAUUGAUCACCCUAUCGCUUAUUGUAGCAGAAUAUUAAACGCCCAAGAAAUCAAUUACUCAGCGACAGAAAGAGAACUGUUAGCUGUGAUUUAUUCUCUGGAGUUAUACCGUCCUUAUGUUGAGGGUAGCAAAUGUUAUAUUAUAACCGAUCAUGCCUCGUUGCAAUGGUUUCAGAAUCUUAGUAAUCCGAGUGGUCGUCUAAAUAGAUGGGCAUGUCGUUUGAGUCAGUUCGAUUUUGAUAUAAUUCACAGGAAAGGUAAAGAACAUGUGAUACCUGAUGCUUUGUCUAGAAUCAAGAUUGACUCAAUUGAAAUUGAUCCCUACACUAUUUCUGAUCCUUGGUAUAUUAAAGUCUUUAACGGUUGUACUAAAAAUCCUCGUCGUUAUCCUAAUUUCUCGGUAGUAAAUGGUAAACUAUGUCGUUUAUCUAAAAAUAAAUAUCAUCUUAUUUCUCAACACGAUUGGAAAAUCGUUGUUCCCCGUGAAAAAUAUGUAGAAGUUCUUCGAAAAUAUCAUGAUGAGCCUUCUUCCGGUCAUUUCGGUGUGGCUAAGACCCACAAGAAAAUUUCUUCCAUAUAUUUCUGGCCUUCCUUAUUUAAAGAUGUAAAAUCAUAUGUUGACAAUUGUGAGGUAUGUCGUUCAUACAAGCCGGUCAAUACUGCUAGGCCUGGUCUGAUGGGUAACCCCCGUCAAGUUACUAAACCUUGGGAGGCUAUAUCAUGCGAUAUAUUAGGUCCUUUCCCUUCUUCUUAUUCUCGCAAUCAAUACUUAUUCGUGGUCUCUGAUUAUUUCAGUAAGUAUGUUCUUUUAUUUCCUUUGCGUAGUGCAACUUCUAAGGCCAUUGUGAAAUGUCUUGAGAAACAUGUUUUUCUAGUCCAUGGCGUAUGUCGUAUCCUGUAUACCGACAACGGUCCUCAAUUCACUUCUAAAGAAUUUAGAGAUUCUUUAACUUCAUUCGGAGUACCUCAUAUAUUUUAUAAUCCUCGAUAUCAUCCUCAGUGUAAUCAAACUGAACGCGUGAAUCGUGAUGUUGUUCGUGCCAUUGCUUCCCUCGUGCGUUCUGAUCAUCGUAAAUGGGAUCAGAACAUUCAGGAAAUCCAGUGUGCGCUCAAUACUUCGGUCCACGAAAGUACAAAAUAUACUGCCUUUUAUCUAAAUCAUGGUAGAGAGAUGGUCAUCGAUGGUGCUACUUAUACACAAGAUUCUUCACCUUGUGAUGGGUCUACCAUAGUAGUAGAUACCCAAACUUUUGCUUCUCGGUUGCCGCGUAUGGCUGAAGUCUUCAAGAAAGUUGAAUGUCACCUUAAAAAGGCAUAUCAACACAAUGUAAAAUAUUAUAAUCUUAGGAAGCGUCCUUUGGAAUUGCGGGAAGGUCAAAUUAUUUAUAAAAGAUGUUUUCCUUUGUCCAGCGCUCCCAAGCACUUUUCUGCUAAACUAGCCCCUAAGUUUGAAAAAUGUGUAGUGCAUAAAAAGCUAGGUAAUGUAGUUUAUUCAUUGAAAACCUUAGAAGGUAAACCUUUGGGUUCCUUCCACAUUAAAGAUCUUGUUGUUCGAGGUCCUAGUGAGGAAGUUUAGGUCUUCUCUCACUUUCAAGGUUGUGUUCUAAGGACAUUACCUGUUAAGUGGUCAUCCCUAUAGGAAGGUGAUCCAUUUGAUGAGGUUUCCCUCGUUCGAGUAAUAUCCGUAGGCCUUGUUUAUGCAUUUGGUGUGUGUUUGAUUGUCACCCAAAUGACGCCAAGGAUAUUCACUCUUAUAUAUAAAAAGAAGAUAGAUUAAGUUUUUUAAGUACUUAAGUAGUUUUUACUUGGAAUAAGUUUAGUGUCAUGGCCAUGACUAAGUAUAACGUAUGCAUAAGGUUUAGUCUAUUAUUUUAAAUUUAAAAGUUAGGUAGGUGUUCCUUUGCCAUGACUAAGUAUAACGUAUGCAUAAGGUUUAGUCUAUUAUUUUAAAUUUAAAAGUUAGGUAGGUUUUCCUUUGCCAUGACUAAGUAAAACGUAUGCAUAAGGUUUAGUCUGUUAUUUUAAAUUUAAAAGUUAGGUAGGUCUUCCUUUAACUUGACUAUGUUCAAGAUAUUUGUAUGUUUAUUUAAGGUUAAGCAGUGUUAGAUUUAAGUCUUAGAGUUGUCGUCUGACACCACCAGGGUGUUUCUUUGAUUUGUUUCAAACAUAUGUUGCCUAUGUGCAAUGUGUUUUCUUGGGAGAAUCCCAAAUUUUAACUCAGGUAAGCACGAGGCUAGUGCGGAAUGUACUAAUCUUUUCCCCUUGGGCUACAUGAGAUGUGUUUUUAAGUUUGAUACAUGGUGAUCAUGUUUGUUUCUUUCCAUUCUUUUACCUUUGUAAGGUAAAUGUACGUUCAUAACAAGUUAACUCAUCUGGAGUCGCUUGUUAUUUCUCUUUCGUUACUAGAGUGUAGCGAAAAAUUUUAUUUAAAAAUUUUAAAUUUUUAAAUAAAAUUUUUCUUCCUCAACUAAAACGGAACUGUAACACGUUUUUUUUUUACACUUCCCACUUGGCUGUAUGGCAUACAGGUGUGUGCCUACGCGCCGGGAAAAAGUUAUGUUCGUUUGACAUUUCGUUUACGCGAUGACGAUGGCAAUUUAGUCCCGUCGCGAUUAUUUCUUUAAAGUGGUGUAUAAGCCACAUAUAUUAUGAGGAAAGGAUGGUGAAGUCUUCUGUAUAAAAACAAUGGUUUAGUCCAUCGACUAGGGGGAAUGCUGUUAUAAUAUCGUCCCACGUGAUGUGGUGAGUGUUUUUACCUUUAAUUCCGCGUCGUAACGGGGUUGACAGAGCUGUAACAUGUCAUUUUGUUACAGGGGUCAAAGUCCACCGGCAGAGUCCAGUGUUAAAGUUCUACUAGAAUGAUCAACUGUAAAGACUAACUUCAAAAAUCAACUUCAAGAUCUUCCUUCAGGGUCUAGCUCCCCAGCCAUGACUACCAUUUGUGUUCAUUAUCUACUUUUGCCGUCAGGGUCAAUUCCUGCUGCGGUCAUUAAUGUACAUAAUUCCAGUUUGGUGUUAAAGUCUCUGGAUACCAUCUAGAUAUCUCUUCUUCAUGAUUAAUUUAACUUAUUAUGGAUAGUGCCAUUCUCUCAAUGUGUUAUUCAACUAAUACAUGGAGUAUUUAUCCUCAAUACAUACUCCAUGCCUUUUGUCAGGACCUGCCGUCCUGACACUUUACUUUUCCUCAUAGGGAUAAUACCUAGUUGUUUAGGAAUAAUACUAAGUUAAGAUACCAUGUUAUAGUACUAGAUUUAUUUCUUAAUUUACCUUAGGAUGUUUUGUAACCGACUGACUUCAUAUCAUUUUAUUUUGAAAUUGUUGAAUCAAUUAUACUAUUGUUAAAAGUGAAA
This is a long non-coding RNA of Pectinophora gossypiella (pink bollworm), 3577 nucleotides long. RefSeq lists it as uncharacterized. NCBI's taxonomy places the organism in Eukaryota, Metazoa, Arthropoda, Insecta, Lepidoptera, Gelechiidae. The record is from RefSeq and is a predicted model, not a curated record. The transcript is spliced from 2 exons.